GACGAACGCUGGCGGCGUGCUUAACACAUGCAAGUCGAACGGUAAGGCCCCUUCGGGGGUACACGAGUGGCGAACGGGUGAGUAGCACGUGAGCAACCUGCCCUUGACUCUGGAAUAACAGUUGGAAACAGCUGCUAAUACUGGAUAUUCAUCGUCUCCUUCCUGGGGGGUGGUGGAAAGCUCCGGCGGUCAGGGAUGGGCUCGCGGCCUAUCAGCUUGUUGGUGAGGUAAUGGCUCACCAAGGCUUCGACGGGUAGCCGGCCUGAGAGGGCGACCGGCCACACUGGGACUGAGAUACGGCCCAGACUCCUACGGGAGGCAGCAGUGGGGAAUAUUGCACAAUGGGCGCAAGCCUGAUGCAGCAACGCCGCGUGCGGGAUGACGGCCUUCGGGUUGCAAACCGCUUUCAGUAGGGACGAAGGGUGACUGACGGUACCUACAGAAGAAGGACCGGCUAACUACGUG
RNAcentral lists this ribosomal RNA (465 nucleotides) under uncultured bacterium. RNAcentral describes it as "partial 16S ribosomal RNA". It matches the Rfam family "Bacterial small subunit ribosomal RNA", at positions 28 to 507 of the family's 1533-position model. The record is from RNAcentral.